RNAcentral lists this ribosomal RNA (1353 nucleotides) under uncultured bacterium. RNAcentral describes it as "bacterial SSU rRNA". It matches the Rfam family "Bacterial small subunit ribosomal RNA", at positions 64 to 1401 of the family's 1533-position model. The record is from RNAcentral.
GGGGGAGCGGGGAGCGAAACUUGCUUUGCUCCGCCGGCGACCGGUGCACGGGUGAGUAACGCGUAUGCGACCUGCCCGUUGCAGGGGGAUAAUCGGGAGAAAUCCCGUCUAAUACCGCGUAAUGCCGCGGGGCUGCAUGGCCCUGCGGCCAAAAGGAAGCGAUUCCGGCAACGGAUGGGCAUGCGUGACAUUAGCUAGUUGGCGGGGCAACGGCCCACCAAGGCGACGAUGUCUAGGGGUUCUGAGAGGAAGGUCCCCCACACUGGUACUGAGACACGGACCAGACUCCUACGGGAGGCAGCAGUGAGGAAUAUUGGUCAAUGGCCGAGAGGCUGAACCAGCCAAGUCGCGUGAGGGAUGACGGCCCUACGGGUUGUAAACCUCUUUUGCCGGGGAGCAAAGAGCGGGACGCAUCCCGCCUCGAGAGUACCCGGAGAAAAAGCAUCGGCUAACUCCGUGCCAGCAGCCGCGGUAAUACGGAGGAUGCGAGCGUUAUCCGGAUUUAUUGGGUUUAAAGGGUGCGCAGGCGGAAGCGCAAGUCAGCGGUAAAAUUGAGAGGCUCAACCUCUUCCCGCCGUUGAAACUGCGUUUCUUGAGUGGGCGAGAAGUACGCGGAAUGCGUGGUGUAGCGGUGAAAUGCAUAGAUAUCACGCAGAACUCCGAUUGCGAAGGCAGCGUACCGGCGCCCAACUGACGCUCAUGCACGAAAGCGUGGGUAUCGAACAGGAUUAGAUACCCUGGUAGUCCACGCAGUAAACGAUGAAUACUCGCUGUCCGGGGAGAUUGGUCUCCGGGCGGCCAAGCGAAAGCGUUAAGUAUUCCACCUGGGGAGUACGCCGGCAACGGUGAAACUCAAAGGAAUUGACGGGGGUCCGCACAAGCGGAGGAACAUGUGGUUUAAUUCGAUGAUACGCGAGGAACCUUACCCGGGCUCAAACGACGGAUGAAUACUUUUGAAAGGAGGUAGUCCUUCGGGACAUCCGUCGAGGUGCUGCAUGGUUGUCGUCAGCUCGUGCCGUGAGGUGUCGGCUUAAGUGCCAUAACGAGCGCAACCCCCAUCGCCAGUUGCCAACAGGUAAAGCUGGGAACUCUGGCGAGACUGCCGGCGCAAGCUGUGAGGAAGGCGGGGAUGACGUCAAAUCAGCACGGCCCUUACGUCCGGGGCGACACACGUGUUACAAUGGCAGGUACAGAGAGAUGCGACACGGCGACGUGGAGCGGGACUGUCAAAACCUGUCUCAGUUCGGAUCGGAGUCUGCAACCCGACUCCGUGAAGCUGGAUUCGCUAGUAAUCGCGCAUCAGCCAUGGCGCGGUGAAUACGUUCCCGGGCCUUGCACACACCGCCCGUCAAG